This 105-nucleotide microRNA precursor is filed under the name Canis lupus familiaris (dog). Its description in RNAcentral is "mir-8834 microRNA precursor family". It matches the Rfam family "mir-8834 microRNA precursor family". Lineage: Eukaryota; Metazoa; Chordata; Mammalia; Carnivora; Canidae. RNAcentral also lists the same sequence under 1 other name. The record is from Rfam by way of RNAcentral.
AGGAGGAACAACUGCAGUGGCGGGGCCAGCUGUGGAGACCUGGAGUCAUUUCCUGCAGUAGCUCCAGAGCUCUCCGUCUGCAGGGCCUGGAGGCUCCGGGGCGGG